UCAGCGAGUGAAGGGCGUGAAGAGCCCGC
Molecule: small RNA, 29 nt
Filed under: Bombyx mori (domestic silkworm)
Lineage: Eukaryota; Metazoa; Arthropoda; Insecta; Lepidoptera; Bombycidae
Description: ovarian small RNA-1994
Source: RNAcentral